GCCACUAGCAGCAAGCAGGAAGCCCAUCACAGCCCCAGAGCGGAAGGCAGUAAUGAAUGCCUUUCCGACACCCUUCCUUGCCUCAAGAGUUGUUCUGGCAUUUGCAUAUGUUGCAAUCUUCAUUCCAAGAAACCCAGAAACAAGUGAGGUGACUGCACCAAGCACAAAGGCGAUGGUGCUGAAGAGAGCAUUAGCAAGGGCAGGCUUGCACAUCUUGCCCUUGCUGUAGUGGCAAGGUUGACUCUUGGUGCUGAACCCCUCAACAGAGCCAAGGAAGAGGAAGAUCAGGACAGCAAAAAUGCCCAUGAAUAGUCCAACAUACUUGUAUUCAGUGAAAAGGAAAGAAGUUGCUCCUGUUAAAACAAAGCAAGGAUAUUUAGAAACACAAGUGUGUAUACAAUUAUACAACAUAAUUAGAGAAUAGCCGUUACAAGAGAAGGCCUAACAAUAAGAAAAAUGAUGACACAAAUAUCAAAAUACUGAAGAUUAAGCAACAUAGCAGUAGAUAUUUACAAAAAAAAAAUGGCAGCAAUUAUCCUAUUUUCUUGUAGAAGCUGUCAGCAUCAAAACAGACAAAGAAAUAAUAGCUAAGUGAAACAAUAAAUGAUGGACUGCAAUCCUUAUCUUCUCAAAAUCCAACGAAACCAACAAAGCUUAAUUCCUAUUUCACAAGGGGAAGCAAAGAAAGAAGUAAUUACGCUGAAGUAACUAAUAGGGUCCACAUACUAAGAGUCAUAAAAAAAAUCUUUCUGUGCCUUCUAUGCUGCUUUCAUGUGGUGCCACAAAGAAAGCAGAACCAGAGCUUCCUCAUCCUAAUCUUAUUAGAAAGAAAUCCUGACUGAAGACAUGGACAGAAGCCAGCCAAUAUCACUGCUAACAUGAACCAGCCAACAAUGCAGCAUCCAGCACAGGACAAACUGAAUUAGCAUGUACCUUCAGACAUGAACUGUGCUCCAAUAAUUACCUUACAUGAAACACUGUUUAGUGGACCACAAGAUCUGUGGUCCAUGUGCAUCGAUUUCUAGGAUUCCUUCCAAGUUCCAAGCAAGGUGGAUGCGGUUGAAAACAAAACUAAUUCCUACCUACUACAAUAAUGUGGACGCACGGAAAGUUCGUUAUCUUCUUAUCCUACAUCAGGCAGCAAGGACCACAGGUGCAGCAACAACGCAUCUGCCACCUGCAGUAACUUAUCCUAUCCCCACAGCAUGGUCACCGCAGAGAUUUUACUGGGACCUCUUAAGAACAGAGCACUACCACUUCUAUAUGAACACCUUCCGCCCCACCACAAAUAUCUCACAAAACAAAAUCUAGUGGGGCAAGCAAAAAAACUAUUUACUGCAGUUAGGACACACUGGACCAAGGAUUAUUAUAACACGUGUUGGGUAAAGCGGGAACAUCAGUAGUUUAUUGUUAGAUCCAGCUUGCAACUAGGAGUAAUAUAACAGUAAAUAUCUAUAACCCAGGUCACAGGCACACGGCUACCAUGAACGCAGGAGACAUAGCAGAAAAAAAAUACCGAGGACGAUGCGACAAACUAACAAACGCUAAACACGCAACACCAGAUGAUCCAAAGCAUAGUUUUAGAGUGAAUUGCCUUAACGAGUAAAAUUCUAUUCCUAUGCCUAAAUAGGGACUCUGUACUGCAGCAAACAGAUCCGCUUCAGAUGCCUCAUAUGAAAAGCAAUUUUUCAGGUUCACCCCGCAAGCAAACAAAAUAACCAGAACAGCAAAAUUACCACAUAAUUCCGAAUAUCAGCUACUAAGCGUAACAUCUAUGAUUAAGCGCCCUCAGAUCCACAAAAUUCAAAAAACACGAGCACGGCCACGGGCGCUCUGCC
This 1838-nucleotide long non-coding RNA is filed under the name Setaria italica (foxtail millet). RNAcentral's name for it is "long non-coding RNA (SITA_LNC003180)". The record is from RNAcentral. Lineage: Eukaryota; Viridiplantae; Streptophyta; Magnoliopsida; Poales; Poaceae.